GACGAACGCUGGCGGCGUGCCUAAUACAUGCAAGUUGAACGGUAAGGGCCUGUUCUUGUGCCGUCCUGAAGUGCCGCACGGGUGAGUAUCACGUGAGUAACAUGUCCUUGUGUUCGGGAUAACUUAAUGAAACUGGGGCUCAUAUCCGACAUAAGCUCCUUCUGCACAGUGGUGAUGGGUGAGAUACGGCGGUUGGGGAUGGACGUGCGGUCCAUCAUCUUGUUGGUGGGGUAGUGGGUUACAAAGGCUUGGACGGGUAGCCGGCUUGAGAGGGUGACCGGCCACAUUGGGACUGAGAAGCGGGCAGGACUCCUUCGGGAGGCAGCAGUGAGGAAUAGUGCACGAUGGGCGGAAGCCGGAUGCAGCAACGCCGCGUGCGGGAUGACUGCCUUCGGGUUGUAAACCGCUUGCGCGUGUGAAGAAGCGUGAGUGACGGUAAUGGGUAAAGAAGCACCGGCUAACUACGUG
This 468-nucleotide ribosomal RNA is filed under the name uncultured bacterium. Its description in RNAcentral is "partial 16S ribosomal RNA". It matches the Rfam family "Bacterial small subunit ribosomal RNA", at positions 28 to 507 of the family's 1533-position model. The record is from RNAcentral.